AGAGUUUGAUCCUGGCUCAGGACGAACGCUGGCGGCGUGCCCAACACAUGCAAGUCGAGCGAUGAAACCCUUCGGGGUGGAUUAGCGGCGGACGGGUGAGUAACACGUGGGUAACCUGCCUCAAAGAGGGGGAUAGCCUCCCGAAAGGAAGAUUAAUACCGCAUAACAUUAGUUUUUCGCAUGAAGGACUAAUUAAAGGAGUAAUCCGCUUUGAGAUGGACCCGCGGCGCAUUAGCUAGUUGGUGAGGUAAAGGCUCACCAAGGCGACGAUGCGUAGCCGACCUGAGAGGGUGAUCGGCCACAUUGGAACUGAGACACGGUCCAGACUCCUACGGGAGGCAGCAGUGGGGAAUAUUGCACAAUGGGCGAAAGCCUGAUGCAGCAACGCCGCGUGAGUGAUGAAGGCCUUCGGGUUGUAAAGCUCUGUCUUUGGGGACGAUAAUGACGGUACCCAAGGAGGAAGCCACGGCUAACUACGUGCCAGCAGCCGCGGUAAUACGUAGGUGGCGAGCGUUGUCCGGAUUUACUGGGCGUAAAGGAUGCGUAGGUGGAUGUUUAAGUCAGAUGUGAAAUACCCGAGCUUAACUUGGGUGCUGCAUUUGAAACUGGACAUCUAGAGUGCAGGAGAGGUAAGUGGAAUUCCUAGUGUAGCGGUGAAAUGCGUAGAGAUUAGGAAGAACACCAGUGGCGAAGGCGACUUACUGGACUGUAACUGACACUGAGGCAUGAAAGCGUGGGUAGCAAACAGGAUUAGAUACCCUGGUAGUCCACGCCGUAAACGAUGAGUACUAGGUGUAGGGGGGGUCCACCUUCUGUGCCGCANUUAACACAAUAAGUACUCGCCUGGGAAGUACGAUCGCAGAUUAA
RNAcentral lists this ribosomal RNA (867 nucleotides) under uncultured bacterium. Its description in RNAcentral is "bacterial SSU rRNA". It matches the Rfam family "Bacterial small subunit ribosomal RNA", at positions 8 to 897 of the family's 1533-position model. The record is from RNAcentral.